Molecule: ribosomal RNA, 368 nt
Filed under: uncultured organism
Description: bacterial SSU rRNA
Rfam family: Bacterial small subunit ribosomal RNA
Source: RNAcentral
CGGAGGGUGCAAGCGUUAUCCGGAUUCACUGGGUUUAAAGGGUGCGUAGGCGGGCAGUUAAGUCCGUGGUGAAAUCUCUGAGCUUAACUCAGAAACUGCCAUGGAUACUAUUUGUCUUGAAUAUUGUGGAGGUUAGCGGAAUAUGUCAUGUAGCGGUGAAAUGCUUAGAUAUGACAUAGAACACCAAUUGCGAAGGCAGCUAGCUACACAGUUAUUGACGCUGAGGCACGAAAGCGUGGGGAUCAAACAGGAUUAGAUACCCUGGUAGUCCACGCCCUAAACGAUGAUUACUCGACAUCAGCGAUACACUGUUGGUGUCUGAGCGAAAGCAUUAAGUAAUCCACCUGGGAAGUACGACCGCAAGGUUG